GGACUACCCGGGUAUCUAAUCCCGUUUGCUCCCCUGGCUUUCGCGCCUCAGCGUCAGUAAAGGUCCAGUCGCUCGCUUUCGCCACCGGCGUUCCUUCCGAUAUCAACGCAUUUCACCGCUCCACCGGAAGUUCCAGCGACCCCUACCUCCCUCCAGAUCAGUCGUCUCCGAGGCAGUUCUCCGGUUAAGCCGAAGGAUUUCACCCCGGACUGGCUGACCCGCCUACGCGCCCUUUAAGCCCAGUGAUUCCGAACAACGUUCGCACGGUUCGUCUUACCGCGGCUGCUGGCAC
This 292-nucleotide ribosomal RNA is filed under the name uncultured bacterium. RNAcentral describes it as "partial 16S ribosomal RNA". The record is from RNAcentral. RNAcentral also lists the same sequence under 2 other names.